GUNCUAAUAAAAAUAUCUUGAAAUUGCUANAGUAAGUGAAAAUACUUACAUAUUAAAUAAAAGACGAGAAGACCCUAGAAAUUUUAUAUAAAAUAUAAUUAUUAUUAUUAUUUUGUUGGGGCGACAGAAUAACAUUUAACUUAUUUUACUUAAUAUGAAUUUUUUAUAAUGAAAAAAGAAAUUACUCUAGGGAUAACAGCAUAAUAAUAUAAUAGUUUAUGACCUCGAUGUUGGACUAAGGAAUAUUUUACUCAGAAGGUAAAAUAAUAUGUUCUGUUCGAACAAGUUACUCUUACAUGAUCUGAGUUNG
This 310-nucleotide ribosomal RNA is filed under the name Humboldtiana porterae. RNAcentral describes it as "partial 16S ribosomal RNA". Lineage: Eukaryota; Metazoa; Mollusca; Gastropoda; Stylommatophora; Humboldtianidae. The record is from RNAcentral.